CUACGGGUUGCUGCAGUGGGGAAUAUUGGGCAAUGGGCGCAAGCCUGACCCAGCAACGCCGCGUGAGGGAAGAAGGUUUUCGGAUUGUAAACCUCUGUCCUUGGGGACGAAGAGGUGACGGUACCCAAGGAGGAAGCUCCGGCUAACUACGUGCCAGCAGGCCGCGGUAAUACGUAGGGAGCAAGCGUUGUCCGGAAUUACUGGGCGUAAAGGGUGCGUAGGCGGCAUAUUAAGUCAGGUGUGAAAUACUCGGGCUCAACCCGGGGGCUGCAUUUGAAACUGAUAUGCUUGAGUGUGAGAGAGGAAAGUGGAAUUCCUAGUGUAGCGGUGGAAUGCGUAGAUAUUAGGAGGAACACCAGUGGCGAAGGCGACUUUCUGGCUCAUAACUGACGCUGAGGCACGAAAGCGUGGGGAGCAAACAGGAUUAGAUACCCCCGUAGUC
RNAcentral lists this ribosomal RNA (442 nucleotides) under uncultured bacterium. Its description in RNAcentral is "partial 16S ribosomal RNA". It matches the Rfam family "Bacterial small subunit ribosomal RNA", at positions 339 to 795 of the family's 1533-position model. The record is from RNAcentral.